This 470-nucleotide ribosomal RNA is filed under the name uncultured Actinomyces sp. Its description in RNAcentral is "bacterial SSU rRNA". It matches the Rfam family "Bacterial small subunit ribosomal RNA", at positions 28 to 488 of the family's 1533-position model. The record is from RNAcentral. Lineage: Bacteria; Bacillati; Actinomycetota; Actinomycetes; Actinomycetales; Actinomycetaceae.
GACGAACGCUGGCGGCGUGCUUAACACAUGCAAGUCGAACGGUGAAGCACCUUCCUUUUGGUGGGUGUGGAUGAGUGGCGAACGGGUGAGUAACACGUGAGUAACCUGCCCCCUUCUUCUGGAUAACCGCAUGAAAGUGUGGCUAAUACGGGAUAUUCUGCGCCUGCUGCAUGGUGGGUGUGGGAAAGAUAUUGUUUCGGUGGGGGAUGGGCUCGCGGCCUAUCAGCUUGUUGGUGGGGUGAUGGCCUACCAAGGCGGUGACGGGUGGCCGGCCUGAUAAGGUUGACUGUCCCACUGGGACUGAGACACGGCCCAGACUCCUACGGGAGGUUUUAUUGUGGAAUAUUGCACAAUGGGCGCAAGCCUGAUGCCCCGACGCCCCGCGAGGGAUGGAACCUUCUCGUUGUAAACCUCUUUCCCCAUGAACAAGCCUGUCCAUUUGGGGGUGGGUUGAGGGAAGCUAGUAAAAA